AGAGUUUGAUCCUGGCUCAGAUUGAACGCUGGCGGCAGGCCUAACACAUGCAAGUCGAGCGGAUGAAGGGAGCUUGCUCCCUGAUUCAGCGGCGGACGGGUGAGUAAUGCCUAGGAAUCUGCCUGGUAGUGGGGGACAACGUUUCGAAAGGAACGCUAAUACCGCAUACGUCCUACGGGAGAAAGUGGGGGAUCUUCGGACCUCACGCUAUCAGAUGAGCCUAGGUCGGAUUAGCUAGUUGGUGAGGUAAUGGCUCACCAAGGCGACGAUCCGUAACUGGUCUGAGAGGAUGAUCAGUCACACUGGAACUGAGACACGGUCCAGACUCCUACGGGAGGCAGCAGUGGGGAAUAUUGGACAAUGGGCGAAAGCCUGAUCCAGCCAUGCCGCGUGUGUGAAGAAGGUCUUCGGAUUGUAAAGCACUUUAAGUUGGGAGGAAGGGCACUGACCUAAUACGUCCGUGUUUUGACGUUACCGACAGAAUAAGCACCGGCUAACUCUGUGCCAGCAGCCGCGGUAAU
RNAcentral lists this ribosomal RNA (521 nucleotides) under uncultured endophytic bacterium. RNAcentral describes it as "bacterial SSU rRNA". It matches the Rfam family "Bacterial small subunit ribosomal RNA", at positions 8 to 524 of the family's 1533-position model. The record is from RNAcentral.